This 410-nucleotide ribosomal RNA is filed under the name uncultured bacterium. Its description in RNAcentral is "bacterial SSU rRNA". It matches the Rfam family "Bacterial small subunit ribosomal RNA", at positions 360 to 773 of the family's 1533-position model. The record is from RNAcentral.
AAUUUUGGACAAUGGGCGAAAGCCUGAUCCAGCGACGCCGCGUGGGGGAUGAAGGCCUCCGGGUUGUAAACCCCUGUUGCGAGGGAAGAAGCCACCGCAAGGAUGGUGACGGUACCUCGCGAGGAAGCCCCGGCUAACUACGUGCCAGCAGCCGCGGUAAAACGUAGGUGGCGAGCGUUAUCCGGAUUUACUGGGCGUAAAGGGUGUGCAGGCUGCCCCUCAAGUGGUGUAUGAAAGGGCUCGGCUCAACCGGGCUAGGUUAUGCCAGACUGAGGGGCUAGAGAGCGAGAGCGGGACGUGGAAUUCCGGGUGUAGUGGUGAAAUGCGUAGAGAUCCGGAGGAACCCCAGAGGCGAAGGCGGCGUCCUGGCUCGCAUCUGACGCUCAGACACGACAGCAUGGGGAGCGAAC